UUUUCUACGGCCCUGAUCUCGCCAUCUAUUUUUGUCUUACCUGUGACAUUAAUUAGGUCAUCUUAAUUACCGCAGUCUAUUCAUCAUUAUAGCCGACCUCGGAACUUGCUUCGAUGACUAUUCGACACGACGGCUAACCUUUCUUCUUCGCCAAGCCUCUAAUUCCCUUUUAUACUCAACCUUUGUCUUUUUCAUUUCUCUUUACUUCUUCCUCGUUCUCUUCGACCUCUUCUCCAUCUCUCGUCCACAGCUUUUGCUCACUUUCUUCUUCCUUAGCAUCUUUUCGCUUCGAGUAAUGACGCCACUUCCGCCUUUACCGACUCGUUCUUCGCUAGAUUAUACCCUGCUUGAAUCAUAUCUCGCCACGGACCCUACUAGAUUCAUUUU
Molecule: long non-coding RNA, 387 nt
Filed under: Ananas comosus (pineapple)
Lineage: Eukaryota; Viridiplantae; Streptophyta; Magnoliopsida; Poales; Bromeliaceae
Description: long non-coding RNA (ACOM_LNC025982)
Source: RNAcentral